UACCCCAUACGAUCUUUGAAUAGCAUUAUUUAGAGAAGAAAGUUCCGGCGGUAGAAGAUGGGCAUGCGUCCUAUUAGUUAGUUGGAGAGGUAACGGCUCCCCAAGACAUCGAUAGGUAGGGGUCCUGAGAGGGAGACCCCCCACACUGGUACUGAGACACGGACCAGACUCCUACGGGAGGCAGCAGUGAGGAAUAUUGGACAAUGGAGGCAACUCUGAUCCAGCCAUGCCGCGUGCAGGAAGACUGCCCUAUGGGUUGUAAACUGCUUUUAUACAGGAAGAAAUGUACCUACGUGUAGGUAUUUGACGGUACUGUACGAAU
This 322-nucleotide ribosomal RNA is filed under the name uncultured Flavobacteriaceae bacterium. RNAcentral's name for it is "bacterial SSU rRNA". It matches the Rfam family "Bacterial small subunit ribosomal RNA", at positions 167 to 487 of the family's 1533-position model. The record is from RNAcentral. Lineage: Bacteria; Pseudomonadati; Bacteroidota; Flavobacteriia; Flavobacteriales; Flavobacteriaceae.